Molecule: long non-coding RNA, 151 nt
Organism: Octopus sinensis (East Asian common octopus)
Lineage: Eukaryota; Metazoa; Mollusca; Cephalopoda; Octopoda; Octopodidae
Exons: 4
Source: RefSeq, a predicted model, not a curated record
GUUUUAGGAUAUCAUUCUGCUUUCAGAAAAUUUGUGGGGGCCCAUGAUACUGCAUGGACCCUAAAUAAAGCAUCUGUAGAAUUGGAAUGAAAUCGGUUGGGUAGUUCUCGAGUUUUAGUGAUGCACACAUACAGACAGACAUUCUCAAUUU